GACGAACGCUUUCGGCGUGCUUAACACAUGCAAGUCGAACGGAAAGGCCCUGCUUUUGUGGGGUGCUCGAGUGGCGAACGGGUGAGUAACACGUGAGUAACCUGCCCUUGACUUUGGGAUAACUUCAGGAAACUGGGGCUAAUACCGGAUAGGAGCUCCUGCUGCAUGGUGGGGGUUGGAAAGUUUCGGCGGUUGGGGAUGGACUCGCGGCUUAUCAGCUUGUUGGUGGGGUAGUGGCUUACCAAGGCUUUGACGGGUAGCCGGCCUGAGAGGGUGACCGGCCACAUUGGGACUGAGAUACGGCCCAGACUCCUACGGGAGGCAGCAGUGGGGAAUAUUGCACAAUGGGCGGAAGCCUGAUGCAGCAACGCCGCGUGCGGGAUGACGGCCUUCGGGUUGUAAACCGCUUUCGCCUGUGACGAAGCGUGAGUGACGGUAAUGGGUAAAGAAGCACCGGCUAACUACGUGCCAGCAGCCGCGGUGAUACGUAGGGUGCGAGCGUUGUCCGGAUUUAUUGGGCGUAAAGGGCUCGUAGGUGGUUGAUCGCGUCGGAAGUGUAAUUUUGGGGCUUAACCCUGAGCGUGCUUUCGAUACGGGUUGACUUGAGGAAGGUAGGGGAGAAUGGAAUUCCUGGUGGAGCGGUGGAAUGCGCAGAUAUCAGGAGGAACACCAGUGGCGAAGGCGGUUCUCUGGGCCUUUCCUGACGCUGAGGAGCGAAAGCGUGGGGAGCGAACAGGCUUAGAUACCCUGGUAGUCCACGCUGUAAACGGUGGGUACUAGGUGUGGGGUCCAUUCCACGGGUUCCGUGCCGUAGCUAACGCUUUAAGUACCCCGCCUGGGGAGUACGGCCGCAAGGCUAAAACUCAAAGGAAUUGACGGGGCCCCGCACAAGCGGCGGAGCAUGCGGAUUAAUUCGAUGCAACGCGUAGAACCUUACCUGGGUUUGACAUGGAUCGGGAGUGCUCAGAGAUGGGUGUGCCUCUUUUGGGGUCGGUUCACAGGUGGUGCAUGGCUGUCGUCAGCUCGUGUCGUGAGAUGUUGGGUUAAGUCCCGCAACGAGCGCAACCCUUGUUCACUGUUGCCAGCACGUUAUGGUGGGGACUCAGUGGAGACCGCCGGGGUCAACUCGGAGGAAGGUGGGGAUGACGUCAAGUCAUCAUGCCCCUUAUGUCCAGGGCUUCACGCAUGCUACAAUGGCUGGUACAGAGAGUGGCGAGCCUGUGAGGGUGAGCGAAUCUCGGAAAGCCGGUCUCAGUUCGGAUUGGGGUCUGCAACUCGACCUCAUGAAGUCGGAGUCGCUAGUAAUCGCAGAUCAGCAACGCUGCGGUGAAUACGUUCCCGGGGCU
Molecule: ribosomal RNA, 1346 nt
Filed under: uncultured bacterium
Lineage: Bacteria
Description: partial 16S ribosomal RNA
Rfam family: Bacterial small subunit ribosomal RNA
Source: RNAcentral